This 478-nucleotide ribosomal RNA is filed under the name uncultured bacterium. Its description in RNAcentral is "bacterial SSU rRNA". It matches the Rfam family "Bacterial small subunit ribosomal RNA", at positions 29 to 507 of the family's 1533-position model. The record is from RNAcentral.
AUGAACGCUAGCGGCAGGCUUAAUACAUGCAAGUCGAGGGGCAUCAAGGUACACGAAAGUGUAUUGUUGGCGACCGGCGGACGGGUGAGUAAUAGGUAGGUAACCUACCUCAUACUGAGGCAUAGCUGGGAGAAAUUCCAGGUAAUUCCUCAUGAGGUUAUAUGACACAUGUGAUAUAAUCAAAGGUAUCGCAAGGUACUGGUAUGAGAUGGGCUUACUGACCAUUAGCUAGUUGGUGAGAUAAGAGCUCACCAAGGCGAAGAUGGUUAGGGGUUUUGAGAGAGAGAUCCCCCACAUUGGAACUGAGAUACGGUCCAGACUCCUACGGGAGGCAGCAGUAGGGAAUAUUGCACAAUGGGCGAAAGCCUGAUGCAGCGACGCCGCGUGAGGGAUGACGGCCUUCGGGUUGUAAACCUCUUUCAGCAGGGAAGAAGCGCAAGUGACGGUACCUGCAGAAGAAGCACCGGCUAACUACGUG